Molecule: long non-coding RNA, 526 nt
Organism: Daphnia pulicaria
Lineage: Eukaryota; Metazoa; Arthropoda; Branchiopoda; Diplostraca; Daphniidae
Exons: 3
Source: RefSeq, a predicted model, not a curated record
AAGAAAAACACAGGUGUUUGAAACAGUGAGUCAGUGAGAGUGCUGUGGCAAUAGGUAUAUAUAUCACACUGACACCACACACCACACACCAGUCGUUUAAAAAAUGCGUUCCAUGUUGAUUUUGCUCUGCUUCGUCCUUGCAGUCGCCUUCCUUGUGGAGGCUGAAGAUGUCACCGUCGGUAAAGACCCAUGUACUUGGGGUCCAUCUUUUUGGUGCGCUAGUAGCGAAAAUGCUGCAAAGUGCGGAUCUGAGGCAUUUAAGUAUUGCGAAAGUGUCAAGUGGAAUGUCGAGUAGAGAACAUUACCGCGACAAAGGCCUGCAUUAUUAUUCUAUAUUAACAGACAUGCAUUUCCGGUGAAUGGAUAAUGGGGAUUUACAUUUUUAGCAAUUGCAUUGGUCAUUUAUCCUGUUUUGGACCGUUGUUACGCGUUAAGAACGGUGAAACAAACAAAAAUCUAGUUCAACAAUUUUAUUCUCUUUUGUAUACCACUUUUCUAUUAUUAAUAAACAUGAAAUAGUCUUUGA